GAUGAACGCUGGCGGCGUGCUUAACACAUGCAAGUCGAACGGAAAGGCCAGUGCUUGCACUGGUACUCGAGUGGCGAACGGGUGAGUAACACGUGGGUGAUCUGCCCUGUACUUCGGGAUAAGCUUGGGAAACUGGGUCUAAUACCGGAUAGGACAACUUUUUGGAUAUUGUUGUGGAAAGCUUUUGCGGUAUGGGAUGAGCUCGCGGCCUAUCAGCUUGUUGGUGGGGUAAUGGCCUACCAAGGCGUCGACGGGUAGCCGGCCUGAGAGGGUGUACGGCCACAUUGGGACUGAGAUACGGCCCAGACUCCUACGGGAGGCAGCAGUGGGGAAUAUUGCACAAUGGGCGCAAGCCUGAUGCAGCGACGCCGCGUGGGGGAUGAAGGCCUUCGGGUUGUAAACUCCUUUCGCUAGGGACGAAGCUUUUUUGUGACGGUACCUGGAGAAGAAGCACCGGCUGACUACGUG
This 468-nucleotide ribosomal RNA is filed under the name uncultured bacterium. Its description in RNAcentral is "partial 16S ribosomal RNA". It matches the Rfam family "Bacterial small subunit ribosomal RNA", at positions 28 to 507 of the family's 1533-position model. The record is from RNAcentral.